RNAcentral lists this transfer RNA (75 nucleotides) under Stutzerimonas stutzeri. RNAcentral's name for it is "Pseudomonas stutzeri tRNA-Gln". It matches the Rfam family "tRNA". Rfam says of the family: Transfer RNA (tRNA) molecules are approximately 80 nucleotides in length. Their secondary structure includes four short double-helical elements and three loops (D, anti-codon, and T loops). Lineage: Bacteria; Pseudomonadati; Pseudomonadota; Gammaproteobacteria; Pseudomonadales; Pseudomonadaceae. The record is from RNAcentral.
AGGGGCGUCGCCAAGCGGUAAGGCACCAGGUUUUGAUCCUGGCAUGCGGUGGUUCGAAUCCAGCGGCCCCUGCCA